RNAcentral lists this long non-coding RNA (3739 nucleotides) under Mus musculus (house mouse). RNAcentral describes it as "long non-coding RNA chr7:91627271-91631010". Lineage: Eukaryota; Metazoa; Chordata; Mammalia; Rodentia; Muridae. The record is from RNAcentral.
GGUUCUUUCAUGUGACUCCCUCUUUCCUUUCAUUUGUGGAUCUUGAUGAGGCAUCUGCACUUUUCUUGAUUCUCUUAACUAUAUCCUAUUUUGCUACAUCAUUUCCCAUCCUCUUCUUCUUUUUAUACCUAAGGUUCUCAUAAUACUAAUUUAUAAUAAUAAAUUUAACAAGAACAUAUUGACAAUACUAUGUACUAAUAAAAAUUCAUUUCUUUCAAGACUCCUUUAAGUAUUUUAUAUCUGUGAACUCUUUUAAUACUCAUUACAAUCAAAAUUAGAUUUUUUGCUAUAACCUUCAGUCUAUAAUUCAGAGAAUAAAGCACCAACAGGUAAGUAACUAGUCUUCGAGGCCAUACAGCCAAUAAGUAAAAGUCCAAAGUCAGAUAAUCCUACUCCUAAUACUACUCUCUAGACAGCUAUGCUCUGUUGUCUCUAUGGGAGUGUAGAGCAUAUUUUAUACAUUUUGAAAUUGUGUGUUCUUUCAUUUCGUUCUACAACAUAGACUAAAACUAUUUCUCUAUUUAUUUUAUAGGAUGCCAUUAUUUAUAUGAUACUCAGGAAAUGUUUGUUAAUGAAUAGUCAUGCACUAAAAUACUCAGUGCAGCACACAUCUGAAGCUGAUUGUUAAAAUAAGCAGGUGAUAUGUACUCACAUCUGUGGUAGUAAACAGUACCUGGAAAUGAGAGUAGCUACAACUACAAAUCCCUUGCCGUCUGGUGCUGUAAAACUCCUUCCCCAGGUCCCUAAUUUUGUCGCCUUGUCUUCAGUGUCUGCAGGCUCUUUUAUAGAAAGAAAAUGACUUCUUUAUUUGAGACAAGAGGGCUGGUUGGUACCACAACUCAACAUGCUUCUAAAUGAUAUGAAAGUAAAUAAAUGUUUAUCAAAGAAUGACUUAUAUUAGAACACUGUGAAAGAUGAGAAUAUGUAUUAAAAUACACAAUUGACUCCUCCACAGCUGCUUCAUCUUUCUACUCUAUCCUUCAGUGUCAUUUAUUAAACCUUUAAAACUUAUUUGACAUUUCAUACAUGUAUAUAAUUCCUUCUAUUACUCUUUUAUCUCUCAUCUACCCCUAUCCACACUCCUGCCUACAAAACAUGUUCAUAUGGGUGUCAUUUUGUUUUGACUUGUGAAUCACUGGGUUUAACCAGGAGAACCCCUCGGUCUGAAGGUGUGGAAUUACCUAUUAGUCUAGUCUAUCAGCUCACCAGUGGGUACACAGCUGAAGAAAGUGAAUGCCCUUCCUCCAAAAUCCAUCAAUAGACAACAGCCCGCCAGGAAUGAGUGAGGCCACAUGCUCUUCUCUCUCAUCUAUGACUGAUCAAUGACAAGCUCAGUCGUGUGCUGGCCCAGUGCAGAUCAAGGCAGCUGUCAUUAGUUCAUGAUUAUGAUGGCUAUGUUAUGUCCUGGAAUAGUAUUUAACAUUCUUUCUACCUUCUAGUUUACUACAUCCUACGUCAGCCUUCUGCUGAUGUUCCCUGAGCCAUAGAGAUGAUGACAAAAAUGUCUUGUUUAGGGCCUAGUAACCAACCUUAAGUAAGUCUUAGCACUCUAAGUGGCCUUGAGUUUUUACACUCAGCAAUGUUCACCAAAAAGAGAAUCUUCCAUAUCAAAGCUAAGAGAUUUGUCUGCAUAUGGACAUUGUAGGACCUUCUACUGGAAUAUAAGUAGUCUCUAAGGGGCUGCCUACUUGAUGAAAGCCAACUCCCCAGCCCCCAACAGUUUCAGUUAUUAAUGGCUCCUCAGGGAUUUCAUGAUCCUGUUUCCCAUCUGUGCUGGCCUGUUUGCUGGCUUAUUGUAUAGGUCUUGCACUAAGUAACAAAUGCUGAGAGAUCAUGUGUGUGAUGGUUCUAUAAUGUCCAGCAGACACUAUUUCCCAGAAGAUAUCCAGUACCACUAGCUCUUACAAUACUUCUGCCUCUUUUAUGAUUUUCCCAGAGCUUUAGGGUUAGGGGUCAGGAGAGGGUAAUUGAUAUAGGUUGUCUAUAUAGAGCUGAGUAUUUUACCAUCUUUUAUUCUCCAGUUGUUGGACCAUUUUAAUCAUCUAUAUUGAUUGCUGUCUACUGAAGGGUUGAGAGACAUUAAUCUGUGGUUAUGAAGAUAAGAAGUAGAAACAGUUUAUUAUUAUGUGAAUUUAGCAGAAUAAUAGUAUUAGGUUCUCCCCUAGAGUCCAUGACCUAGUCAUAAAGGUUUUGUUCAGCUAAUGUUACUAGGUAUGUAUGAGUACCUACACUUUAAGUAAAUCGUAUGGAGCAAGAUUUAAAUCUACCUAGUAACAGAUAUCACAUUAAUAGUUAUGAAGAGAAGCAUGAGUAAUUUCUACUGUUUAUCUUAUAUUAUAAAAUAGAUUUUUCCCAUACAGUAGAUUCUGGUUAUGAUUUCCCUUCUCUCAAGUCUUCCAUGAUCCUAUAAACCUCCCCUCCCAUCAUAAUCCAUACUUUCUGUCUCUUGUUAGCCAAACGAUCAUCUAAAUAAUAACAAUAACAUAAAACAAGACUAAUUAUAAUAGAAUAAGACAAGCAAAUGGGAGAAAAAAAGCCAAAUAAAAAGUACAAGAAACAUAAACUCAGAAAUACACACAUUUACACACAAAUGUUGCGCCCACCUCAUCCGGCAAGGAAAAAUGCAACAUGUUCGGAUUCUUCUCAACAGCUUUAUUCCAGGAACACCUCCAUGCUACGGGAACUCCGGGAACCCAGGGAGGACUGCUUAUAUACACUCCAGCACUGGGGAGAGCUAUGUAUCCUCCUGGGAUUGGUCAGUCUGCCGGCACUUUAAUUUGUAUGCACCCGCUCAGGAGGGGUUGGCGCCAGAUUCGGGCUAGCGCCUGCAUUUACGGAGAUGGUGUACCAGAGGCCGGCGCCAUCUUUUAGGAGCCUGGCUGCCUACACACACAGACCUUUGUACCUUCUCUUCUUUCAUCCCACUUCCUCCUGUUCUCCAUUCUAAAGAGGCUGUAAGCUCACCUAACCUCCAAUCUUUUCAGGCAGAUGCCAUAGCAAAAAUCUACCAACUAGGAAGCAUUGAAAAUAGAGAAAUUGGUUUUUGUAAUUUUUAAGUCUGAGAAAUGACCAUGGUGCUGGGUUACUUUCUGGAUGAAAUAUGGCAUCUUUGUUCUGUAUCUCUUAUGGCACAAGAAACUCUAAGGAAUAUCUUCUAUAAGAGUGUUGAUUUCAUUCUUGAAGACCAUCCUUAAUUAGCAAUCACCUCUUAAAGGGCAUAUAGCAUCUGGAUAUUUUAGUCUUUCAAGAGAUGAGUUGGAAAGACAGUCACUGCAGUGAAAUAAGGAGACACCUUCUGUCUUUUCACAUCACUGCUUCCCUUUUUGCCAAGUCCUACCAUCUCUUCACUGGCUCACUUCCUUCAAAUCAUAGCUCAACCAUCUGCAUCUCCAAAGUUCUUUCUCAUAUUUCCACUUGCUAGUAUGGAAGAGCCGCACAUAAAGGAGGGGUCCUUUUAAUAAGUAUUCCUGUGCUCAUCAUGGAAUACAUGCUUGAAGUACAUUCACUGUCCAAUUGUUAGAAGGAAGCCAGACAUGCCAUUAAACUCCUGAUGUCAUGAGCCUGGUCGUAUGAUCCUGGGUUUCAGUGAAGUUGGUAGAACCGAGAUCUUCAGAGUUCAUCCAGUAUGUGUUGCUGUCUCUUGCUUUUGCCUCUGGAUUACAGUCAGAUUCAGUAUUAGAUAUCAGAUACUGACUACUGCUUCCAGAGUCUAGCCCUUAAUUACCUGCUUUAGUUCUGC